This is a long non-coding RNA of Oncorhynchus masou masou (cherry salmon), 514 nucleotides long. RefSeq lists it as uncharacterized. The transcript has 3 exons. The record is from RefSeq and is a predicted model, not a curated record. Lineage: Eukaryota; Metazoa; Chordata; Actinopteri; Salmoniformes; Salmonidae.
GAGGGAGAGUGGAAGAGCGAGAAAGACGCUUGAAUACAUUAGGUGGAGGACGAGGUGAAAACAGUGUGUUACCAUGACAAAGAGAAGCCCCCAGCCACAGCAGCGCUCCACUCGCACAAAUUGAGCGAGAAUAUUCCCAGGCAUGCUCCCACUCUCUGCCAAGGCGUACGAGGUUCUGAACGUCCCUGGAACAUUCUCCUUAGAGGGAAGAAAGGGGGCCGGGAAUAUCAGGAAUCAUCAAUAAAGGAAUGAAAAAGCUUCCAGUUCCAGCCAAUGAAGUACUCCCUCUCUCCCUCUCCGGGCCUUCCUAUUGGCUGAAUCCAUACCUGUAUACCUGCCUGACUCUAUGUUCCCACGGCAACACAAUGCCGCCCUAUAUUUUGGCUGCACCCUCUGAUUAUCUCAAGCCUGGUCCAUCUGGAAUGAGGAGGAGGAGGACAGUGGUGGCAGGAUACAGAAGAACAGCAGGAACUGCCUUUCCUCUCUUCUCCUCUGGGCUAACACACUCUACUGU